GGGCAGGUGGCGGAACGGGUAGACGCGCCAGAUUUAGGGUCUGGUGCCGCGAGGCGUGAGGGUUCGAGUCCCUCCCUGCCCACCA
Molecule: transfer RNA, 85 nt
Filed under: Pseudomonadota bacterium
Lineage: Bacteria; Pseudomonadati; Pseudomonadota
Description: tRNA-Leu
Rfam family: tRNA
About the family: Transfer RNA (tRNA) molecules are approximately 80 nucleotides in length. Their secondary structure includes four short double-helical elements and three loops (D, anti-codon, and T loops).
Source: RNAcentral